RNAcentral lists this ribosomal RNA (497 nucleotides) under uncultured bacterium. RNAcentral's name for it is "partial 16S ribosomal RNA". It matches the Rfam family "Bacterial small subunit ribosomal RNA", at positions 28 to 507 of the family's 1533-position model. The record is from RNAcentral.
GAUGAACGCUGGCGGCGUGCCUAAUACAUGCAAGUCGAGCGAACAGACGAGGAGCUUGCUCCUCUGACGUUAGCGGCGGACGGGUGAGUAACACGUGGAUAACCUACCUAUAAGACUGGGAUAACUUCGGGAAACCGGAGCUAAUACCGGAUAAUAUAUUGAACCGCAUGGUUCAAUAGUGAAAGACGGUUUUGCUGUCACUUAUAGAUGGAUCCGCGCCGCAUUAGCUAGUUGGUAAGGUAACGGCUUACCAAGGCAACGAUGCGUAGCCGACCUGAGAGGGUGAUCGGCCACACUGGAACAGAGACACGGUCCAGACUCCUACGGGAGGCAGCAGUAGGGAAUCUUCCACAAUGGGCGAAAGUCUGACGGAGCAACGCCGCGUGAGUGAUGAAGGUCUUCGGAUCGUAAAACUCUGUUAUUAGGGAAGAACAAAUGUGUAAGUAACUAUGCACGUCUUGACGGUACCUAAUCAGAAAGCCACGGCUAACUACGUG